This 652-nucleotide unclassified non-coding RNA is filed under the name Melitaea cinxia (Glanville fritillary). RNAcentral's name for it is "misc RNA ENSMCXG00005017808.1". The record is from RNAcentral. Lineage: Eukaryota; Metazoa; Arthropoda; Insecta; Lepidoptera; Nymphalidae.
AGUGUCAGUGUUUAUCGCCCCCAAACUGGGUAAGUGGUGUUUUUGUAUGGCGGGCAAUUUAUGUAGUUAAUGCAAGUAAUCAUGCCUAAUGUAAAAUAUAACAUUUGUAUUCAGUAGCAUAAAUCUCAUUUGAAUUAUUUUCUUGCAUUUCAUCAUCUUUCAAGUCUACCCUCAUUUUUAAUAUUUUUUAUUAUAAUUGUAUAAUUCAUUAUCAGUUAACCUUCUUUUUAAAAAUAAUUAUCUCCGCUUCUGGCUUUAUGAUUCCACGGCACUACUGCUACAAUUUAGGUGCUUUCUUUUAUAACGCAGUGCCGUGGAUGUUUGCAAAUAGUACUGGAACGCUUAUUUUUAUAUUUUGAUGGCGCGUUCCAGGGUACGACGUUUGGUUCACCAUUUUCGACGUUUGGGUCACCAAUUACGACGUUUGGGUCACCAAUUUCGACGUUUCCACCUAACCCCAACGACGAGAGUUCACUCCGCCGGGUCUUGAACUACCCGUUCCUGCCGCCCCCGGUCGAUAGCGGGAUCCUGUCACGCGGCUCCCGGGAAUAUCACCUGCACGGCGAACCAGGAGAGUACCUGAGCCGAACUGCACUUGGAGCUUGUGUGAAUUGAGUGCUCGACCCCGCCCAUAUACGUACAUUUUUUUUUU